This 513-nucleotide ribosomal RNA is filed under the name uncultured bacterium. RNAcentral's name for it is "partial 16S ribosomal RNA". It matches the Rfam family "Bacterial small subunit ribosomal RNA", at positions 28 to 523 of the family's 1533-position model. The record is from RNAcentral.
GACGAACGCUGGCGGCAUGCCUAAUACAUGCAAGUCGAGCGGACAGAAGGGAGCUUGCUCCCGGAAGUCAGCGGCGGACGGGUGAGUAACACGUGGGCAACCUGCCCCUUAGAUUGGGAUAACUUCGGGAAACCGAAGCUAAUACCGAAUAAUACAAGGAACCUCCUGGUUCUCUGUUGAAAGAUAGCCUUUGUGCUGUCACUAAGGGAUGGGCCCGCGGCGCAUUAGCUAGUUGGUAGGUAACGGCUUACCAAGGCGACGAUGCGUAGCCGACCUGAGAGGGUGAUCGGCCACACUAGGACUGAGACACGGCCCAGACUCCUACGGGAGGCAGCAGUAGGGAAUCUUCCGCAAUGGACGAAAGUCUGACGGAGCAAUGCCGCGUGAGUGAGGAAGGCCUUCGGGUCGUAAAGCUCUGUUGUGAGGGAAGAACAAGUACCGGCGUAACUACCGGUACCGUGACGGUACCUCACCAGAAAGCCACGGCUAACUACGUGCCAGCCGCCGCGGUAA